UUGAUUCACGUUCGAUUGUUAAAUAGAGAGCUUGUCAUAAGGAAAUGGGUUUCUUGAUAAAGUGGAAAAUAAUACGGUUGCCCGAAUAUGUUCCGAGAAAACACAACAAGAGAAAGAUAAUAGUUUAAUGGAAGACUACACAACCAUUGCUCCGUUGCCCGAAGACUCAAGCUGACGAAGAUUAUUCGAGAGCCGCUGAACUUUUUUUUAAAGGGAAGCCAACGAGUAUCACGACGGUAAAAGAGCAACGAGUCACGGCCCGGAUCAAGUAAAAAGCAGAUAGAAGAAACAUCCCUUUUGAAGAGUUCGUGAGAUUUAUCUUAAUGCUUGAAUGAAGAAGAGGAUCGAAUGACUCCGCCUAUAAGGGCAAAAUCGUAUAUAUAUCUGCUUUAUGUAAAGAGAUUUGUUUUCUAGUAAAGUUGUUCUAAUAGAAUUGAACCAAGAAUCAACGUCUCUUUUCGCAUUCACUUCAUGCAUUUGCAUUACACAACAUUACGUGCAUUAAGGACCAUUAAAAGACCCUAAUUG
RNAcentral lists this long non-coding RNA (528 nucleotides) under Gossypium barbadense (sea-island cotton). Its description in RNAcentral is "long non-coding RNA (GBAR_LNC013201)". Lineage: Eukaryota; Viridiplantae; Streptophyta; Magnoliopsida; Malvales; Malvaceae. The record is from RNAcentral.